This 423-nucleotide ribosomal RNA is filed under the name uncultured bacterium. Its description in RNAcentral is "bacterial SSU rRNA". It matches the Rfam family "Bacterial small subunit ribosomal RNA", at positions 29 to 447 of the family's 1533-position model. The record is from RNAcentral.
AUUGAACGCUGGCGGCAUGCCUUACACAUGCAAGUCGAACGGUAACGCGGGGGCGAACCCUGGCGACGAGUGGCGAACGGGUGAGUAAUACAUCGGAACGUGUCCUGUUGUGGGGGAUAACCCAUCGAAAGGUGAGCUAAUACCGCAUGAUCUGGAGACAGCAAAGCAGGGGACCGGAAACGGCCUUGCGCGAUUGGAGCGGCCGAUGUCCGAUUAGCUAGUUGGCGGGGAAAGCCCACCAAGGCAACGAUCGGUAGCUGGUCUGAGAGGAUGAUCAGCCACACUGGGACUGAGACACGGCCCAGACUCCUACCGGGAGGCGAGCAGUGGGGAAGUAAUUUGGACAAUGGGCGAAAGCCUGAUCCAGCAAUGCCGCGUGUGUGAAGAAGGCCUUAGGGUUGUAAAGCACUUUCAGCAGGGAAG